Molecule: ribosomal RNA, 238 nt
Filed under: Proteus mirabilis
Lineage: Bacteria; Pseudomonadati; Pseudomonadota; Gammaproteobacteria; Enterobacterales; Morganellaceae
Description: partial 23S ribosomal RNA
Rfam family: Bacterial large subunit ribosomal RNA
Source: RNAcentral
UUAAGCGAAUAAGCGUACACGGUGGAUGCCUAGGCAAUCAGAGGCGAUGAAGGACGUGCUAAUCUGCGAAAAGCGUCGGUAAGGUGAUAUGAACCGUUAUACCCGACGAUAUCCGAAUGGGGAAACCCAGUAUCCAAUGGAUACUAUCAUUAACUGAAUCCAUAGGUUAAUGAGGCGAACCGGGAGAACUGAAACAUCUCAGUACCCCGAGGAAAAGAAAUCAACCGAGAUUCCCCUA